GACGAACGUUGGCGGCGUGCCUAAUACAUGCAAGUCAACUGAAAUACCGGUAGCAAUACUGGUAUGGAGGUGGCGCACGGGUGAGUAACACGUAGGUAAUCUGCCUUCAGGUCUGACAUAACCCAUCGAAAGGUGAGCUAAUAUCAGAUGAUGCAGCGGCUUGACAUCAAGACAGUUGUUAAAGCUUCGGCGCCUGAAGAUGAGCCUGCGUCUGAUUAGCUAGUUGGCGGGGUAACGGCCACCAAGGCUGCGAUCAGUAGCUGGUCUGAGAGGAUGAUCAGUCACACUGGAACUGAGACACGGUCCAGACUCCUACGGGAGGCAGCAGUAAAGGAAUAUUG
This 341-nucleotide ribosomal RNA is filed under the name uncultured bacterium. RNAcentral's name for it is "bacterial SSU rRNA". It matches the Rfam family "Bacterial small subunit ribosomal RNA", at positions 28 to 366 of the family's 1533-position model. The record is from RNAcentral.